This is a non-coding RNA of Paramuricea clavata, 71 nucleotides long. Lineage: Eukaryota; Metazoa; Cnidaria; Anthozoa; Malacalcyonacea; Plexauridae. The record is from the annotation of a GenBank genome assembly.
GACUGUGUAGCUCAGUUGGUAGAGCGUCGAUCUAGUAAUUCGAAGGUCGCGGGUUCGAGACCGGCCAGCCG